RNAcentral lists this long non-coding RNA (790 nucleotides) under Sitophilus oryzae (rice weevil). RNAcentral describes it as "uncharacterized LOC115886924, transcript variant X1". Lineage: Eukaryota; Metazoa; Arthropoda; Insecta; Coleoptera; Curculionidae. The record is from RNAcentral.
UUAUUUUAGGCAGUUUGCUUUAUAAAGCAAGUGGUUUUACUUAUAAUAACAAUUAUUCCCCAAUGCGAUAAAAAUGAAUAUUUUGAACAGAAUCAAAUUAUUAUAUUAGGAUUAAACAUCAAUAUGAACAAAAUGGACUAUACGAGUACAAGGCAUUUCUUCAAACUCAGGAGACUUUUAGUGAUCUUUUAGUAUUGUUGAAAUACCAAAGGAUGCGCCCAAUAAGACAUUUUAUGAGCGUAAAAUGCAAAAGCAAUAUAUUUUCUGCGUCUAAAGGAUGAAACAAUGUUAUCAAACAAACAAACAGACCGUCAUAACUCUUAAUACGUUAUAUUAACAAUCUACAGACAACCACAAUAUUAUUUUACAUGAAGGUCAGAAGAACUAAAACGCGGUCAUCAGCCGAAAGAGAUUGUAAAAGAAUCUAUGAUUUAGUCAAUCGAAAUCUUUCGACUGAGCUGACACAUAUAUAGAAAAGUUAAGUUUGUUUUGGAAUAAAUAAGUACCUAAGUACCAUUCCCCAUUGGAUUCUAGAGUUCACUGAAAGGCAAGAUUUUUUUAUCACGGAAAUAUGGCACCAGAGACAAGAUUUAAGAAAAAGAGUCAAAGAAACCUACGUAAGAGAAUUAUGAGAUAUGCACUCAAACGGUUUUCAAAGUUUUUUCCAGAAAGUAAUUAUUCUAUUCCGCCAGUUUUAUUAUCCUGAAAAUAAAGUUAUUCAUAAACCUCAAUCAUAUACUCGAUGCUAUGUAAUACAAAAGCUAUAUAUACUCUAUAAUAAACAUUAUUA